AGCCACCAUUGUGGAUUGAACACACGACCUGUGGUGUAGAAGACCAGAGCUCUAACCACUGGGUUAUGGUGGC
This is a non-coding RNA of Araneus ventricosus, 73 nucleotides long. The record is from the annotation of a GenBank genome assembly. Lineage: Eukaryota; Metazoa; Arthropoda; Arachnida; Araneae; Araneidae.